AAAAAAUACAUCCAAAUACAAAAUGACUAACAAAAGAUACAUUUAUGUAUGUUUUUGUGACUUUGAUGCAUCGAGUUGUGACUAUUGUGACAGGAGAUUUUUUUUAUUACCAAAUAUACUGUACAUAUUCAAAAGUUGAAGGAGAUAUUUAUGGGUAUUGGUUGGUAUGCUGUGGACAACUAAUGUGGACCCGACACAUCAAAUAAUUCUGCUUCACACACACACUUUCACACUACAUUAC
This 241-nucleotide long non-coding RNA is filed under the name Trifolium pratense (red clover). Its description in RNAcentral is "long non-coding RNA (TPRA_LNC009330)". The record is from RNAcentral. Lineage: Eukaryota; Viridiplantae; Streptophyta; Magnoliopsida; Fabales; Fabaceae.